GACGUAGGUGGCGAGCGUUGUUCGGAAUCACUGGGCAUAAAGAGCACGUAGGCGGCUGAGUAAGUCGGAUGUGAAAUACCUCGGCUUAACCGAGGAACUGCGUCCGAUACUGCUCGGCUUGAGGUCCGGAGGGGAGAGUGGAAUUCCCGGUGGAGCGGUGAAAUGCGUAGAGAUCGGGAAGAACGCCGGCGGCGAAAGCGACUCUCUGGUCGGAAUCUGACGCUGAGGUGCGAAAGCUAGGGGAGCAAACGGG
Molecule: ribosomal RNA, 253 nt
Filed under: uncultured bacterium
Lineage: Bacteria
Description: partial 16S ribosomal RNA
Rfam family: Bacterial small subunit ribosomal RNA
Source: RNAcentral